This 1181-nucleotide long non-coding RNA is filed under the name Lonchura striata (white-rumped munia). Its description in RNAcentral is "domestica (Bengalese finch) lncRNA (ENSLSDG00000018211.1)". Lineage: Eukaryota; Metazoa; Chordata; Aves; Passeriformes; Estrildidae. The record is from RNAcentral.
CCUGGGGGCAGCAGGACGGAGCUGGCACUCGGCGUUUCCGAAGGAGCUGACCCCGCGGUCCCAGCCCCGCUCCACGGGAGCGGAGAGCCGCGAAGGAGCUCUGGCCCGGGGAAACGGGGAGAGCUGCGGGGACAGCGCGGGGCCGGGCGGGUCCCGGCUCCGCUCGACUCCCAGCGGGCUCCGUCCCGUACUAUUCCCGGCACUUCAGGGCGAGAAGAGCAGCGCAAAAGAGCCGCCUGGAAAGAAGAGCGGACAACCCGCAAGAAAUCGCUGCCAGCUCAGAGGGGCACACAGCCAUCCCGCAGGACAGGGGGCGGGGAGGGGGGGCACCCAAAACCCAACCCAGCCCCACGCGAACGACACGGGCGCUUACAUCCUCCUCCUCGCAGUCACUUCGCUGCUGGUACUGGAAGCGGGGCCGGCUGCCUUCCUGUUGCAAUGGACGCGGGGUCUUGCCGGCAGCGCCGUCCUCCUCGCUGCUCUGGGCGCCCAGGAGCAUGCUACACGCGGGUGAGGAUCAGUCCCACAUCAGCGGGAGGGAGAGCGAGGGAUCCUGCUCCCCGGUCCUCUGCACCGGCACCCGGAGAGAAGCCGGGGGGUCCAAGAGAGCAGAGACGGGGGAGUGAUGAGAGGAAGAAGAGAGAAGAUAGACAAAUAAAUAAUAAAACGCAAUCGAGCCGUAACACCACAGGCCCCGGGAAUGCUGCACCAUCCAGUGUUGGGAAGGAAAAAAAAACAGAAGAGAAAAAACAAUAACCAAAACACUCCACGAAGACGUACCCCCGAUAAUGGCGCCUGAGUGGAUCAGCAUUAAAUGUGCUUUGGGGGUGUGCGUGUGUGUUUGCAAAAGCAGGAAAAAAAAAAAAAAAAAGGAAGGGGGGCUGGCUCAAUCGCUGGCUGUCAGUGGCUCCCCAGGCAGAGGUGGCGGAGCAGUCGCCUCCGAGGUCGCAUACCAACAGUGUGCACAAGCAGAGUGACAGAGUGUGUGAGACGGAGUGGAAGAGGCUGGGAAGCCUCAUUCAAAGCACGUUGCUCUUCUUGGGAAGGAGGGCUCUUCUACGAUCAUCUCCUUUUCGGUACCUUCUGGGGUUUUUUCCCCUGCCUUUUUUUUUUCCCGGGGAAACAACUCAAAAAAAGGAAAAAAAAAAAAAAAUAAAAAGGCAACAGACACCUGAUCGCCA